GGCUCGGCGGGCCUGAAGUAGGAGGCCCGGCCCCGCCGCUCCCGGGACAACCCACAGGCCGGGGCCUUACGGAGGGGAUGGGGGCAGCGGGGAUAGGGCUCUGCAGCCAGCAGCAGGCCCGUCAGUCGUCGUGGGGGUAGCGGGAAGAGCGAAACAGAGCGCCGGGCUGUGCGGCUAUGUGAGCCUGAGGGCCUGGGCUGAGCCGUGUUUCCCCCGUCUCCGAAUAAAGGAGCGUUGGGGCGGGGAAAAGAUUCCCGGUGGGAGGUUUUUUUCAGUCCGGAGGAGGCGUUUGCGUGGGCUUCUGGGGGAAAAAUGGGCAGGUUUUUGAAAGAGAAAGUAAUUGCAGGCUAUUAAAGUAGCGGUCUGCGUCAGGCUUGGGAAAUGUCCCGAGCUGAAAAUAACUGGAGGCUUGGACAUACAUGCACGGCCUGUUCCUACUUCUCCUUGGAUGUUCCCUUGUAGCCGGGGCUGGAGGUGGAAAUAAAUAGAUGGAUCCCUGCUCCAGCUGAUAGUGCAGCCAUUCUAGUCUGCAGGUCAUAGGUUUGCCCAUGUAGCCAAAAUGCCUCUGAAUCAGGCCUCUUUUGUAAAAUGGCAGAAAGAUUAGGCUUGCAGAUAGGUCCCCGUAACAAAAACUAGGUUUCUGUACAGAAUCCCAGUGAAAAUUUUCCAUGGGCUUAAAGCGGUCUAUUUACGUGUACUCGGUUGAAGAAAUGUAGCCUGGUGGUGUUUUCCUACGUGGAUAUUUGAGAUGGUGGUGUGGUUUAACUCCAGUAGGCAGCUAAGCCUUACACAGCCCCUUGCUUGCUCGCUCCCCCCUGCAGCAGGAUGAAGGAGAAAACUGGAAGAGUAAAAGUGAGAAAACUCGUGGGUUGAGAUAAAGAACCAACAAGCAACAGUCAGACACCAGGUGGUGCCGAAGACCAGCCAGAAAAGAAAGUGAAACGAGGGCAAGGAGUGUUCAGAAGGUGCAAAGAACAACUGCCAGAUACUCAGUUUCUGGUUUCAGUAAGUUAGGGGCAAUGUACGGUAACGUCAGCAGUGGGGCAAAAUUAGAAACGAAACCAGCUGCAGAGGUGAAGAAUGAUACAAAAAUAUGUCAUGAAUGAGCAGUAAUUUCUGUUCUCAUCGUAUAGCUUUCAUAUUCUGAUUUGCUUUUACAACAAACUUAACAGCUACAGAGCAAAAAUAGCACGGAAAGGUGUAGAGUUAAACUGGGAGGGUACGUACAUCUGGUUUUAUUUAGCAAUGUGCAAGGCCAAUAACACUGUUUGAAAUGUUAAAUGGAAGGUAGGGAGUUAAAAUGAAGCCUACAGCCAAAAUGAGCUUAGCCAAGUAUCAUCCAUAGUUUAGGCCUUUGGCUGAGUGGAUUUGGGGAAAUCUCUCUGCCAAACCAGGGUAAUGUGAGUAGCUUUUUGGCAGAGCCCCUUUGACACACCGGGGGGCUUUUCCUGACAGGACACAUAGGACUGUGUGCCACGUGCCAUCUUGCUCCACAUCAGGUACCGAAAAUCAAGACGGUUUGAAGCCAUUUGUUGAAUGAGGAAGGAGGUUGUUCCUUUUAUCUUUUAUUCCCCAACAAAACAGUGUCGGAGCUGCUGUUGAGCAAGAGGAGUGGUGUCCUGUAGAUCUGUUGGUGGUGACAGGGGAAUGGUGGUUUUCAUCUAUUUAAGAGUGAAUAUGUUAUAAAUACCACAGUAAGAGGCAGAAUAUAGGGUAGGGAAUAUCGAAGAAGGGAAUAAUCCUGUGUGUUCCUUAGGGAAUUUUAUGUGGGGAAAAUUGUAUCACCCAAACCGAGGAGUAUUCUCCAGCAGAGCAACAGAGUAUUCACGUGUUUGAGAAUAUGUUGCUGCGUUGCCUCUCACAGAUACAACACAGGCUUCAAGUGACUCUACUCUUCACUUGAUGUAGUGCUACCUUGGUGAGGUGUUCUGCUGGUCUGGAGAACUUGGUUACAUACAGGUGACGUUGUGGUGUUCUGCAUGUGUAGGUGACACUGGACUUUGCCACGUUGCACCCUGAGGAACAAUUUGUGCAGGCACAGGGUGAUGUUUGUGUGUGACAUCAGUCUGGGGGAACGGACAUUUCCUGCUGCACCAGCACAGGGCACCGAGUUCCUCGGGUCAUGGUGCGACUUCCAAAAGCUGACAUAGUUGUCUUUGAACAAGGAACACGGCGUUAGUGGUUGUUUUAAGGGUUGCUUUGAGAAAGCAACUGCAAGUGUUUUAAUAGUCUGUGGCAUUCAGAUGCCUGGAUCCUUACUCGCGUUUCUGCUCGCCGAUUUCAUGGAAUGGUUAGGGUUGGAAGGGACCUCAAAGAUCAUCGAGUUCCAGAUUUAAAUCCUUUUCCUGGCAGAGCAGACACUAUGAUCAAGAAGUCAUUUUCCCAGGAUGCGGUUCAUCCUCUGUGCCACACACAUGUUGACUUCUUUGGUUUCAGCUCAGCCACAUUGUUUCAGGUAGUGGAGAGCUGCAUUUUUGCUCUACCUUGAUUGAAAACCAUAAAAAAAAAAACCCACACACCAACCCCCCUAUGCACACUUUAACUCUUUUUUUCCUAAUUACAAACUGAACAUUUACCCAAAUUGUUGCUGAUGAAUAAUCUUUGAAUGUCAUAUAUUAAUAUUGUAAGUAGCUAGAUAAUGGAAGUUACAUGUUCUACACAAAGUGGAUAAAUUGUGUAUUUUGCCUGAAGGAAGAACACAUGGUGUUGCCUUUUUCUGUAUUGAUAGAGGUCAACAACCCCAUUACUGUUCUGUUUCAGUACAACAUUAUUUUCCAUGUGUUCAUAAAGUAAUAAUGUAAUAAGAAGAUAAAAACUUCCCUUGGGGUGUUCUAUGAAACAGCCACUUCUGACUCUAUCUAGUAAAUACAUUUUCUUAAAAAAAAAAAAAAAAACAAAAUAAAAAUCAAACAGAUUGUUUGCUAAACUGAGACUACAACAGGAUUUACUUAAGUGAAAGUAAUUGUGAAAGAAGCUAACUGUAUGCAAACAUGAUUCAUACGGUAUUAUUUUUCCACUUCCUGGUAUAGGUGCUCAGCUGGAAAGAAACUUGAUGCCAUAAACUUAUAUGGGCUACUAUUGUCACAGCAGGGGGCAGGAGGAUCUUGACUUCUAAGGUGGAAGCCCAGGACCCAGCUCCAUCGAUCAUGUCUCUACUCCUGGAGCUUUGAGCAGCAGAUAAUAAUGAGGACAAAAGCUUUCCCCAGGCCCCAAGCCGGAGCAGCAAAUGUGAAACCCAGCCGAGUUCCUGUUCCUGCAUCUGAUGCAAUAACCCCAUUAAGUUUCCUACAGGAGAAGUCUCCCUCUCUUCCAUGGGUGCUCCUCUGUGCAUGGCAGGAGGAUCCAGCGUAUGUUUCCUGGAUGGGGCCAGGAGCGGAGACAAUAUUCACAAAAAAUGUACGAAUUGGACCCUUUAUGAUUUUUAUAGCAAUAAAAGCAAACUCUGACAGCAACGUAAUCUGCUGAUCUUUUAAAGGCUUUUUUUUUUCAGGUGUAGACACCAGUGUGGAUCAGGAGGAGGUGGAGUGGCACCUCACAGCAAGAAACCAUCUUAUCUUAGAUGACACCUAUUGCAAGAAGCCCUGCAAGAGCUGAUCUACUCACUCCUCUGGAAAGCUGCUGCUAAUUUUCAAGCUUUAAAAUUAAGUUUUUUGCCUUCUGUUAGUCCAGCCAUGCUAUUGGAAACCCUUUCAAAACAGCUGCAUCUCUGAUGCUAAGAAGUAUUUCGCUCUCGGAUUCACCUCACAUGCUGCUCCUCAUGCCGGUAACUCAGUCAUGGAAUGGUUUGGGUUGGAAGGGACCUCAAAGAUCAUCCAGUUCCAACCCCCCUGCCAUGGGCAGGGACACCUCCCACCAGACCAGGUUGCUCAAAGCCCCAUUCAGCCUGGCCUUGGUCCAGACCUUACUCAUAGGAGUAAGUACCACCAUAAAUCUGGACAUUCCAGCCAAAAGACUUCGGUAUUUUAGUGUCUGGCUGGCAGCAAGACACUAAAAGAGUUGAUAUAUUUACUUAUUGAAUACCUGACGCAAUUAAGUAACACUGAAAAAAAAGGCUUAAAGGUGAAAUGUCAGUGUUUGCUCCUGCUGUGGGGGACUGGUGGUUUUCUUCAGCUGUAACAAGAUUUUAUCUGUUAAAGCUCCUUUAAAUAGCAUUUGUAUGGAAUCAGAGUCGGGGAAUAUAAAACCUCACGAAGAAGGGAAGGAAGAAAAAGCCCUCAAUGAAGUAGAACCAACCACACCUUCAUCAGAAAAAGGAUUUCCACAGUCAGACCCGAAACUCAUCCUGAAGAAAAAAAAAAUUAAAAAUUAUCAAACUAACCUAAUUCCUACCAGAGUAACCUAAUUCCUACCAGAGUCACUGGCGGUUACCGGAGCAGGGAAGUCAUUCCUGGCGCACGGCUAAUUCUGGAUCUGGCUUUGCUUAGUGCUCUGCACGUCAUCUGUUAGUUUUUUUCUUCUUUGACCUUGCCCAUGUUGUUACAACGAAAAGUUCACUUGGCAGCUGACGAGGAAAGGAAAACAAGACCCAUUGUAAAGCUGAGUGACUAAGUGAGAAAAUACACACCAAGCCAUUUGAAGGGCCUGGAAAACCCAAACAUGGAUUUACUCUGCUCACUGACCGAUUAAGCAAAAAAAAAAAAAGGCUAAAAGAACCCGUAAGAUUUCAUGUUCAUCAUCUAAAAGUUGGAAAGUGCCAGAAUUAGCAGAGAAUAUGCCCAAGAAAGCCUGGACUGGGAUCAAAAAGGCAGUACCACAGUUUCUGGCUGGAGAAGGACCAGGUGACUACCGAGGUGCACGUAGCUCACAAAGGGUUCAUGUGGACUUUGAGGGCCAGGGUGGCACCAGAGCUGCGCUGACAUGGACCUGGCAAGGGUUGCCAUUACUGCAGCAACGGAGGUUGGCAUGGACAGGGGAAGGGGCUGGAAACCCAGAGAAGCUGUGGCUUCUCCAUCCCUGAAGGUCUUCAAGGCCAGCCUGGAUGGGGCUUUGAGCAACCUGGUCUGGUGGGAGGUGUCCCUGCCCAGGGCAGGGGGUUGGAACUCAAUGAUCUUGAAGGUCCCUUCCAACCCCAACCAUUCUGUGAUUCUAAACCAUAGGAGGAGCACAAUGGUAUCAGUCUCCACCGUGGUGGCAUCGUGUUGGCCAUGUCUGCCCCAGGGAUGGCACACGUGCACCUGGGAACAAGGAGCCGCUUCAUGGAGCUCAGAGAAGUCUUCCCCCUCCAAACAAGCUGAAGCUUUCAGACAGAUAUUAACAAACAAACCCAAACAAGGUAAUUACCGCUUCCCUCAUGCUUGUAAUUCACCAGUCGUCCCUUUUUCAUCACAUGAAUGACAUCACAGGCAGAAAUUACUGCCCGAGGGCCUAGACUGGAACCGGCUCUGCAAUCACACUAAUGGGUCUCUCUGCAGACACAGCAGCAGAGGUUUUUUUUUUUUUUAAAUUAGCUUUCAAAUUAUUUUACCGAAUAAGAAAAGCCGUAAUUAAGAAGUGAAACGCUUCAACAACAACUCAUCACUAACAAUUAAAAACAUAGAAGUAAUCGUUUUAUUCUCCGGAUUUGACAACUUUAGCAGGGAAUUAGCAUCGAACGGAGGUGGCUGCAAAUAAAAUGCUAUCAAAAACCA
This is a long non-coding RNA of Calidris pugnax (ruff), 5627 nucleotides long. RefSeq lists it as uncharacterized. The record is from RefSeq and is a predicted model, not a curated record. NCBI's taxonomy places the organism in Eukaryota, Metazoa, Chordata, Aves, Charadriiformes, Scolopacidae. The transcript has 3 exons.